Molecule: ribosomal RNA, 286 nt
Filed under: Cricetulus griseus (Chinese hamster)
Lineage: Eukaryota; Metazoa; Chordata; Mammalia; Rodentia; Cricetidae
Description: 16S rRNA
Rfam family: Bacterial large subunit ribosomal RNA
Source: RNAcentral
GAUCAGGACAUCCCAAUGGUGCAGAAGCUAUUAAAGGUUCGUUUGUUCAACGAUUAAAGUCCUACGUGAUCUGAGUUCAGACCGGAGUAAUCCAGGUCGGUUUCUAUCUAUUUACGAUUUCUCCCAGUACGAAAGGAUAAGAGAAAUGGAGCCUCCUUUACACAAGCGCUUCAAAAAUAAUUAAUGAAUACAUCUCAAUGUAAUAUAUCCGUACUAUUAACCCCAAGAUAAGGGUUUAUUAGGGUGGCAGAGCCCGGAAAUUGCGUAAGACUUAAACCCUUGUAAU